AACGGGGGGGACUAACGUUAUUCAUCAUAACUGGGCGUAAAGGGUACGUAGGCGGUUUUAUAAGUCUUAAUUAAAGAAUCUAGGCGUAACCUAGAAAUUUUUUUUCUGAUACUGUAAAGCUAGAGGUUAAUAGAGGUUCGUUAUACUCUUGGAGUAAAAGUAAAAUUUCUAAAUACUGAGGGGAUAACCGAUAGGCGAAGGCGAACGCUCCUGAUUAAUACUGACGCUGAGGUACGAAAGCAUGGGAAUCAAACGGGA
RNAcentral lists this ribosomal RNA (258 nucleotides) under uncultured bacterium. RNAcentral describes it as "partial 16S ribosomal RNA". It matches the Rfam family "Bacterial small subunit ribosomal RNA", at positions 524 to 777 of the family's 1533-position model. The record is from RNAcentral.